GUACACUCCUGCGGGAGGCAGCAGUGGGGAAUUUUGGACAAUGGGCGAAAGCCUGAUCCAGCAAUGCCGCGUGAGUGAAGAAGGCCUUCGGGUUGUAAAGCUCUUUUGUCAGGGAAGAAACGGUGAGAGCUAAUAUCUCUUGCUAAUGACGGUACCUGAAGAAUAAGCACCGGCUAACUACGUGCCAGCAGCCGCGGUAAUACGUAGGGUGCAAGCGUUAAUCGGAAUUACCGGGCGUAAAGCGUGCGCAGGCGGUUUUGUAAGUCUGAUGUGAAAUCCCCGGGCUCAACCUGGGAAUUGCAUUGGAGACUGCAAGGCUAGAAUCUGGCAGAGGGGGGUAGAAUUCCACGUGUAGCAGUGAAAUGCGUAGAUAUGUGGAGGAACACCGAUGGCGAAGGCAGCCCCCUGGGUCAAGAUUGACGCUCAUGCACGAAAGCGUGGGGAGCAAACAGGAUUAGAAACCCCUGUAGUCC
This 473-nucleotide ribosomal RNA is filed under the name uncultured organism. RNAcentral's name for it is "partial 16S ribosomal RNA". It matches the Rfam family "Bacterial small subunit ribosomal RNA", at positions 331 to 796 of the family's 1533-position model. The record is from RNAcentral.